Molecule: ribosomal RNA, 276 nt
Filed under: uncultured Pseudomonadales bacterium
Lineage: Bacteria; Pseudomonadati; Pseudomonadota; Gammaproteobacteria; Pseudomonadales
Description: partial 16S ribosomal RNA
Rfam family: Bacterial small subunit ribosomal RNA
Source: RNAcentral
CUUGUGCCAGCCGUCGCGGUAAUACAGAGGGUGCAAGCGUUAAUCGGAAUUACUGGGCGUAAAGCGCGCGUAGGUGGUUCGUUAAGUUGGAUGUGAAAUCCCCGGGCUCAACCUGGGAACUGCAUUCAAAACUGACGAGCUAGAGUAUGGUAGAGGGUGGUGGAAUUUCCUGUGUAGCGGUGAAAUGCGUAGAUAUAGGAAGGAACACCAGUGGCGAAGGCGACCACCUGGACUGAUACUGACACUGAGGUGCGAAAGCGUGGGGAGCAAACAGGA